RNAcentral lists this non-coding RNA (396 nucleotides) under Paramoeba aestuarina. Lineage: Eukaryota; Discosea; Flabellinia; Dactylopodida; Paramoebidae. The record is from RNAcentral.
UGGAUAAUAGAAAAAGUACAGAAAAUUGAAGAAUUAGAAAAAGAAAAUGUAUUGUUUUUUGAUGAUGAAUUAGUACUUUCCUCUUCUUCCUCUUCUUCCUCUUCUUCUUCUUCUUCUUCUAAAGGAUCGGAAGUAGAAAAAAGAAGAAGAUUUGGCAAAGCUUCGUUUUUUGCUAUUGAUUUCCCACAAGUUUAUUUGAAUCAAAUACAUAGCAUCGUUUCCCGUUAUCUCUUUAAGAACCCAGAAGUUUUAGCCAAUAUAAGCGCUCUGAAUAAAAACUUCGAGAUCUACAAAGCAAAGAAAGAAUUGCAUGUUACUUUAUUGCAUGAAAAACACAAACUAAUUAGUGAUGGAAAAAAAGGAUGGUCAGAGGAGGGAUUUGAAGAGAUUAAGGAA